GAAGAAGAAGAAGAAGAAGAAGAAGAAGAAGAAGAAGAAGAAACAUUGAACUGUGAUAUACCAUGUACACUUGAGGCUUAUAUUCUCAGGAGAGUAACAGGCUAGAAGAAUUAAACUUCUCAAUAUGUCUGAUACGGUGAGAAUUCUUCCCAGUUCCUGGUGGCAAUCUGAAGGUUCAUAGAGCCUGAUGGAAAAACCAAGAACAAGCUUACUGUGUGAACAAAAGUGAUCAGCUUCUACCUCUCCAGCCACUAUGGUCACCCACUCUGGAGCUGUAAACUGACAUGUUCUUUCUUCUGUAAGUUGCUUUUGGUCAUGGCAUUUUAUACAGAAAUGGAUGGGUAAUGAAUUUAGUGCGAUAUUAUAGAUAUCAGCAAAUGUGUGAAUUCCAUGAGUAUAUGAACACCCAGAAAUUCCAGUAGUACUUCGCUUGCACCAUCAUGAAAUGAAGUUUAAUGGCUAUAAGCAAAACUCAAGCACUAUUGUUUUAGUGUUAAAAUUUCUAGUUAUUAUUUACUAUCUUUAU
Non-coding RNA from Peromyscus maniculatus bairdii (prairie deer mouse), 526 nucleotides. The record is from RefSeq and is a predicted model, not a curated record. Lineage: Eukaryota; Metazoa; Chordata; Mammalia; Rodentia; Cricetidae.